This 422-nucleotide long non-coding RNA is filed under the name Musa acuminata (dwarf banana). RNAcentral describes it as "long non-coding RNA (MACU_LNC010654)". Lineage: Eukaryota; Viridiplantae; Streptophyta; Magnoliopsida; Zingiberales; Musaceae. The record is from RNAcentral.
UCAUGGAAAACAUCAAGUAAUUUCAAAAUAAUUCAAGAGAGUUGAGUUACUUACCUUGUAGUCGAAGCCCGUCAAAGCCCAAUUCUCCGUUUCACCUUUGGAAGUUCUUGAUUCAUCCUUGGUUGCCUUCCUCUUCUUUGGCCUCUCCCUCAGUUCAAGUUCAUUGUUUAUUUUAGAUUUUUGUUUAAUAAACUUAUUAAGAUUUAGUGUUCGAAGUUCAAGUUCAUCAUUGUCCUCAUCACUUGAGUCAUUGCUCAAAUGGUAUUCAUUUGUCCGGGGUUCCAAAUCCUUCCUGUUCUUUGGAAGGUGGUUCAAGUGUUCAUUGUGUUCAUCAUGUGCAUUGCGCACCAUUUCAUAUGUCAUCAACAAACCAAUUAGUUCUUCAAGUGGAAAAAUAUUUAAAUCUUUUGUUUCUUGUAUUG